ACAGCAGCAGCCGCGGUAAAACGAAGGGUGCAAGCGUUAAUCGGAAUUACUGGGCGUAAAGCGUGCGUAGGUGGUGGUUUAAGUCCGUUGUGAAAGCCCUGGGCUCAACCUGGAAAUUGCAGUGGAUACUGGGUCACUAGAGUGUGGUAGAGGAUAGUGGAAUUUCCGGUGUAGCAGUGAAAUGCGUAGAGAUCGGAAGGAACAUCUGUGGCGAAGGCGACUAUCUGGGCCAACACUGACACUGAGGCACGAAAGCGUGGGGAGCAAACAGGAUUAGAUACCCCGGUAGUCCCUGUCUCUUAUAA
Molecule: ribosomal RNA, 305 nt
Filed under: uncultured bacterium
Lineage: Bacteria
Description: partial 16S ribosomal RNA
Rfam family: Bacterial small subunit ribosomal RNA
Source: RNAcentral